Molecule: ribosomal RNA, 718 nt
Filed under: uncultured organism
Description: bacterial SSU rRNA
Rfam family: Bacterial small subunit ribosomal RNA
Source: RNAcentral
GCCGUAAACGAUGAUAACUAGCUGUCCGGGCUCAUGGAGCUUGGGUGGCGCAGCUAACGCAUUAAGUUAUCCGCCUGGGGAGUACGGUCGCAAGAUUAAAACUCAAAGGAAUUGACGGGGGCCUGCACAAGCGGUGGAGCAUGUGGUUUAAUUCGAAGCAACGCGCAGAACCUUACCAGCCUUUGACAUCGUAGGACGACUUCUGGAGACAGAUUUCUUCCCUUCGGGGACCUAGUGACAGGUGCUGCAUGGCUGUCGUCAGCUCGUGUCGUGAGAUGUUGGGUUAAGUCCCGCAACGAGCGCAACCCUCGUCCUUAGUUGCCAUCAUUUAGUUGGGCACUUUAAGGAAACUGCCGGUGAUAAGCCGGAGGAAGGUGGGGAUGACGUCAAGUCCUCAUGGCCCUUACAGGCUGGGCUACACACGUGCUACAAUGGCAUCUACAGUGAGCAGCGAUCCCGCGAGGGUUAGCUAAUCUCCAAAAGAUGUCUCAGUUCGGAUUGUUCUCUGCAACUCGAGAGCAUGAAGGCGGAAUCGCUAGUAAUCGCGGAUCAGCAUGCCGCGGUGAAUACGUUCCCAGGCCUUGUACACACCGCCCGUCACACCAUGGGAGUUGGAUUCACCCGAAGGCGGUGCGCUAACCUUUUAGGAGGCAGCCGACCACGGUGGGUUCAGCGACUGGGGUGAAGUCGUAACAAGGUAGCCGUAGGGGAACCUGCG